Molecule: ribosomal RNA, 327 nt
Filed under: uncultured eukaryote
Lineage: Eukaryota
Description: partial 18S ribosomal RNA
Rfam family: Eukaryotic small subunit ribosomal RNA
Source: RNAcentral
CCCUUAGAUGUUCUGGGCUGCACGCGCGCUACACUGAUGCGCUCAACGAGUUUUAACCUUGCCUGGAAAGGUUGGGUAAUCUUUUUAAAACGCAUCGUGAUGGGGAUAGAUUAUUGCAAUUAUUAAUCUUCAACGAGGAAUUCCUAGUAAGCGCGAGUCAUCAGCUCGCGCUGAAUACGUCCCUGCCCUUUGUACACACCGCCCGUCGCUCCUACCGAUUGAGUGGUCCGGUGAGGCUUUGGGAUCUGAGCGGAAAGAGCGUUUCGCUGUUUCUGCCCGGAAAACUCAGUCGAACCUUAUCAUUUAGAGGAAGGAGAAGUCGUAACA